RNAcentral lists this ribosomal RNA (292 nucleotides) under uncultured bacterium. RNAcentral's name for it is "partial 16S ribosomal RNA". It matches the Rfam family "Bacterial small subunit ribosomal RNA", at positions 505 to 796 of the family's 1533-position model. The record is from RNAcentral.
GUGUCAGCCGCCGCGGUAAUACGUAGGGACCAAGCGUUGUUCGGAUUUACUGGGCGUAAAGGGUGCGUAGGCGGCGUGUCAAGUCAGUUGUGAAAUCUUAAGGCUUAACCUUAAGCGGUCAACUGAUACUGUCAUGCUAGAGUGCAGAAGGGGCAAUCGGAAUUCUUGGUGUAGCGGUGAAAUGCGUAGAUAUCAAGAGGAACACCUGAGGUGAAGACGGGUUGCUGGGCUGACACUGACGCUGAGGCACGAAAGCUAGGGUAGCAAACGGGAUUAGAAACCCCCGUAGUCC